Lineus longissimus is the source of this 1675-nucleotide long non-coding RNA. RefSeq lists it as uncharacterized. The record is from RefSeq and is a predicted model, not a curated record. NCBI's taxonomy places the organism in Eukaryota, Metazoa, Nemertea, Pilidiophora, Heteronemertea, Lineidae. The transcript is spliced from 6 exons.
AAUCGACAAGACGGCGAUGAAGAAGGAGAGCCAGCCUCCAGCUCGAGAGCCGAGAAGACACUGGAUGGACCUGAAGAAUAUGUUGCUGCCAAUGUUGGAGCCAUACAGGGCAGCCCGAGCCAACAUUGUACAAGGGCCACAAGGUCCAGGGCCUCAAGGACAAGGGACACAAGGACAAGGGACACAAAAGACGAUGUUGCAAUCUGCGGGCCCUCUGCAGAUUGAGAUGAUGGCUGUCGAGAAGACCCAACCACUCAACCAAGAUCUACAAAUUGUGCUAUGGUAGAUGUGACUCUCAAAAGAUUUUGGAUGACUAAGGAAUCCAAUACAUAUAUGUCGCUCACAGAUACGGGCAGACGACCGAGAGUCGAGUGGAUUCAGUAGAUCGAAUGGUUGUGCAGAGGGAUAGCCAUGUGCAGGAGUGACGAACCAGAGCUCAGCAAACGAUGCCUUGACAGAACAAUUUAAGGAGAACCUUCGCUAAGAUCAGAAAGGGAACUUGUUUGCUGUGGGGAUGGAUUGGACACCGAAAUGUCUGUCAUUCUAAUAAACUAUAAUGACAAUCCAACUCCAAAGGGACUUUCUGGACUUAGGGAAAGCUACGGACAUAGAGCCCUGACAUGAUAUCCUGCAGCCACCAUGAGGACAGCCUAUCUCAUACCUUCGGAAGGGUGCCAUCACACGCAUGGAGAAGCAUCCGACAGGAGGAAGAUGGAUGUCGCUGACCAGCACAUCCCAACGAUGUAUUUUUGUCACCGUAGACCUAUUGCUUUUAUUGAAAUAUCUGAUUGAAAGGUGAUUUUAUUGAUAAAAAUCCUAAAAUUUUCUGAUGGGAGAAGGUAUAUAUUGACCUUCUUAGGGCAAUGACAAUAUGUUGUCAUGGUUUAAAAUAAUGCACGUAUAAAGAAGGAACAUUUUAGAGGAGGGUUUCUUUGGUUACCAGGGGCACCAUGAUCCAAGAGAUCAACAAUUUUCUGGCAAAAUCUUUUGAAAGAAGGCGAAAUGUGGAGUGGGUGUUUAUGGAGAGCCAAUAGGGCAUGUCAGUACCCAAACAAAUAAGUCUCAAGCAAAAUUGAUUUUUAGCUUAUGAAGGCAGAAGCUAAUAGCCUAGGGCACAUCAGGACCCUACUGCUUGAAAUGGUUUUCUCCUGAAAUAAUCACCAACUUCAUCAGAUAUUUCAUUAUUAUAUCUCCAUCACUUGAGACAUGGGGUUCAUAUGAUUUCUUUCUUGCUUAAACCCCAGGCAAAAAAGGAACAUAUGUGUCUGCGAUGGAACGUAGGCCUUUUUUACUGUUUCUCGAUCUCCCCAGUACCACAGAAUCCACGGGCAUUGGUCUGAGCAGUUAAGCCGAGACCUCCUUACGUUGGCUGGCUCAGUUGCUUGGUAUCAUAUAAUACCAGAGACAACUGACCAACUACACAAAGAAGUUAAAGAAGUUGCGUUCCCUCAAUCACUUUUACCAAAUACCUGGGAACCAGGGCUGCUCCAUACCUCUGGAAUCAACUCCCUACGUCCAUCCGCAAGGCGGAUUCAGUGGUAUCUUUCAAGGCCGUUCUAAAAACUCACUUAUUCAGGCAUGCUUUUUUCAACAGCGCCUGAGAGUCGAGGAAAUUGUUUCCUCGAAUCAGGCGCUAUAUAAAUAUUUUAAUUGAUUGAUUGAUUGAUUGAUGAAA